Long non-coding RNA from Sitodiplosis mosellana (orange wheat blossom midge), 2776 nucleotides. RefSeq lists it as uncharacterized. The transcript has 2 exons. Lineage: Eukaryota; Metazoa; Arthropoda; Insecta; Diptera; Cecidomyiidae. The record is from RefSeq and is a predicted model, not a curated record.
UUGACUAAAAAUCACUCUUUGGUACCAAAAAUGGUCAUUUUGUUGAAAGUUUUGCCCUAUUACAUGCAAAUAGCUAUACAUCUUUCCAUAUUCUUUGCUUGGAUUUUCAUUAAAGUGUUCCUUCGGAUAAUGUAAAGUUAUUUUUAGGCUAGUUUAGUGGGAAAAAUUACUCAUUUGAAGGGAAAUUUCGAUUUUUGGUCCGAUUUUUGAGCGUUUUGUGGACAUUCGGUCAAAUUACUACUGACAAAACUAAAGAUGAGGUUCUUCAUGGCUCUAGGCCUACUUUCACCCCCUUAUACAUAGUCAAGCUCAAGUUCUAUUAAAAAGUUUGAAAAUUGUUCCACCGUGGUAUCAUUUUUUGGAAAUUUCGAUUAAUUUUUCUAAGUGGAUUGUUGUUUAUUAUUUUUGAAAUAUUAUAUAGCAUUGUCUGGAUGGCCGAUGUGUAGCUGAACAUGAGAAUAUCAUACCGGACUAUUCACAGCAUACGCCAAGUUAUGCUAGUCCAAAUCUAUAUCAACAACAAAGUCUCAACGGGCGAAUUUAAAUCACCUGAAUAAAUAAGGGGAAUAGGACAGCGGAUAUAAACUGGAGAUAGACUACAUGAAUGCGAAUAGAAAAAAAAAAUGAAUAAAUCGAUUUGCCAUAAACUGUAAAUACAUUAAAAUCAAUGGGAGAGUGUUCUUUCUUUACAUAUUGCCGAAAUAAACGCAUAAAUAUUCACCAUCCACUUUAGAUCAAUGUUCAUCAUUUUUAUUGAAUUAUCGUGGAAACAAUAUACUUUGUCUGAAUAUGAAAAGAAUUCUGUAUGAAUUUUGAACCGAAUGAGAAAAAUGCGAAGAAAAUAACUUUCGUAUGAAGAAGAAGAAGUAGUAGCUAUUGUAGUAGUAACCAUUCAGAUUCAAUCAAAAUACACAACAUAAGAUCAUAGCAUCAUUAAGGAAAUACUAAUAUAACGGCUAAGUAUUUUAAAAUUGGAUGAACUUUCAUUAUUAUUCUUAUACAAUCAACGCACCGCCCAUACACUUUAUUUGUAGUUAAGCCGAAAAUGCGGGAAUAAUUUUCCCUCGCCACUCCAAAGUAAUCAGUUUUAAUUGAAUUUUUGAAUUGGUGAUUUCUCAUUUACACCUUUGCGUUCAAUAAAUUAGCACUUUUUUUUUGUCUCAAGAUUAGUUCUUCGAAUUUUUUUUUCAUAAUAAUUUCCACAUUCUAAAUGGAGAAUGUUUUUACAAGAGAUUCUUGGUUCCUUGAAAACACUUGCAAGCAAGCAAUUAUAUUACAAUUUCAGAAUAUGUGUGUUUUUUCAAACGAUGAUGGAAUCAAUUUAAAAAAAAACUAGUGUAUUUAUUCAAUUUGUCAAUAAGUUCAUUUGAACAUUUUUUGCAAAGUCUUAAGAUAACAAAAAUGAGAAAAUUUCAUUGUCAAUUUUGUUAUUGAUACAUGGUUUAAAUGCAGAUCUUACCAUAAAAGUAUGUUACUGUUAGGUAAAAUCAAGAAAAUUAAAUUCUUAUUCAAAUGAGCCAAUCGAAAUGGUUUUACAUUUACUUGCCCAACGCAAUUCGACCGCAAAUAUAUAUAUAUUUCAAUUAUACAUGUAUGUUUCAGUUUGCCAUUCAAAAUAGGGAACAUAUUACGUAUUAUUCAUCUUCAAUGGCUCUUCGUGUCGAGAAAAGAAAUGAGAGAUAAAAAACGACGCAUGUAUAGUAGUAAUUUGUAAAUUUAAGUGAAAAAAUUUCCGCAAGACUCUUGAUUGAAUAUGUGAUAAGAAUAAAUAGAAUGCAAAACGAAAUAAUAAAACGUAUUUUAUAUGCUCAUCUUUUCCUAAAACAAAAAAGAACAAAAACUAUUUCCACGUCUAAUUGAUAGCAAAAACUAAUGAAAUUUUUUAGUAAAAUUGUAGUAAAUAUAAAUUGAUUGAUAAUCUCAUUAGAAACAUUAUCUUGAAAUAUUGAACAAAAUCGAUCACGCGAACGCAGCAUAUACAACAAAAGAUUCAUUAUCACUUCUCUUAUUGUAUGUUGAGGUUUGUUUGAUUUUUUCGCUUUAUUUUUUUUUCCAACUUCACCAAAAGCGAUAAUAACCAUGUCGUGUUCCUAUUAACCGAAAGAAAAACAACAACUAAAACCAUCAUUUCGAAUAAACCAUACAUUUUUAACUAUUCUAAUCAGAUUUAUUUCGGUUUUGAUUUAAAUAAAUUUAGGCCGAAAAUUUAUGAAGUUUAUUUACAAUCAAACAUAUAAAGGCACUCAUUUAAUACAAUUGUCUGUCAAAUUUUAGUUUAACAGAGAGCAAUUUUGAUAAAACUCCUACUAAAUUUUCAUUCAAUACACAAUACAAAAUGUUCCGUUGGCAUUAGAUCAAUGCGAGGCGCAAUAACAGAAUUGAGGAAUUGUUGCAAAUCAAAUUGGCUUCGAUCUCUUAAAUCUCUGACAAUUGAAUAAAAUUGCGUGUGCUUCGUCGUGGCCAGAUGCCUUUUGUGUAGAAUUGCGUUUUCGCAAUUAGCUAUGCUUCAUGCGAUAUAUUUAAAAAUAAAUGUUAAAGCAUUUUAGCAAUCAAAAUGUUUUUAUUUUCGGAUUUUAAAAACAAAUUCACCAUUUAUUACAUAAAAAUUGGUUACAUAAUAUGUUGUCCGAACCAUCGAUUAAGUUGUAAUUAUAAAGGCUAGCUUUUUUAAACAAAAAAAGAAAAUAGAUUUUAAGUAGCACAUUUAAUGUUUUAUUCUAAAUCAUUUGUAUCUUAAAUUGUAUUUUAUUGAAUUAAAUUACCUAGCAAUAAUAGA